AAAGGCAGCUCAUUUUGAUAUAGACUGGGGCAAAGAAGAUGAUUCCAAUUUGUUAAUUGGCAUCUAUGAAUAUGGAUAUGGAAGCUGGGAAAUGAUUAAAAUGGAUCCUGACCUCAGUCUAACACACAAGAUUCUUCCAGAUGAUCCCGAUAAAAAACCACAAGCAAAACAGUUGCAGACCCGUGCAGACUACCUCAUCAAAUUACUUAGUAGAGAUCUUGCAAAAAAAGAAGCUCUUUCUGGUGUGGGAAGUUCAAAGAGGAGAAAAGCAAGAGCUAAGAAGAAUAAAGCAAUGAGGUCUGUAAAAGUGAAAGAGGAAAUAAAGAGUGAUUCUUCUCCUCUGCCUUCAGAGAAGUCUGAUGAAGAUGAUGAUAAAGAUGAGAUCAGUUCUGUGAAACAUCCAAAUAAAAAAGUUAAAACAGAAAGAGACAGUGAAGAAAAACCUGAGCCAGAUGUUUAUAUAAAGAAGGAACCAGAAGAAAAGAGGGAAGCAAAAGAAAAGGAGAAUAAAAAAGAACUUAAAAGGGAGAUAAAAGAAAAAGAGGAUAAGAAAGAUAUAAAGGAAAAAGAUUUUAAAGAAAAAAGAGAAAACAAAGUAAAAGAAGCUAUACAGAAAGAAAAAGACAUAAAGGAAGAAAAGGUAUGCAAAUCAUAAUAAAAAAUUUAGAAAGUAAAAACAACCAGCAUAUUUACAUUUUAGGAGACUAAAUUGCAUAUCAGCCCA
RNAcentral lists this small RNA (724 nucleotides) under Pongo abelii (Sumatran orangutan). Its description in RNAcentral is "retained intron". Lineage: Eukaryota; Metazoa; Chordata; Mammalia; Primates; Hominidae. The record is from RNAcentral.